Molecule: non-coding RNA, 73 nt
Organism: Phrynosoma platyrhinos (Desert horned lizard)
Lineage: Eukaryota; Metazoa; Chordata; Lepidosauria; Squamata; Phrynosomatidae
Source: the annotation of a GenBank genome assembly
GCCAGUGUGGUGUAGUGGUUUGAGUGUUGGACUCGGACACUGGGAGAGCAGGGUUCGAAUCCCUGCUCAGCCA